Molecule: ribosomal RNA, 508 nt
Filed under: uncultured bacterium
Lineage: Bacteria
Description: partial 16S ribosomal RNA
Rfam family: Bacterial small subunit ribosomal RNA
Source: RNAcentral
GACGAACGCUGGCGGCGUGCCUAAUACAUGCAAGUCGAACGCUUCUUUCCUCCCGAGUGCUUGCACUCAAUUGGAAAGAGGAGUGGCGGACGGGUGAGUAACACGUGGGUAACCUACCCAUCAGAGGGGGAUGACACUUGGAAACAGGUGCUAAUACCGCAUAACAGUUUAUGCCGCAUGGCAUAAGAGUGAAAGGCGCUUUCGGGUGUCGCUGAUGGAUGGACCCGCGGUGCAUUAGCUAGUUGGUGAGGUAACGGCUCACCAAGGCCACGAUGCAUAGCCGACCUGAGAGGGUGAUCGGCCACACUGGGACUGAGACACGGCCCAGAUUCCUACGGGAGGCAGCAGUAGGGAAUCUUCGGCAAUGGACGAAAGUCUGACCGAGCAACGCCGCGUGAGUGAAGAAGGUUUUCGGAUCGUAAAACUCUGUUGUUAGAGAAGAACAAGGACGUUAGUAACUGAACGUCCCCUGACGGUAUCUAACCAGAAAGCCACGGCUAACUACGUG